AGCAGCCGCGGUAAUUCCAGCUCCAAUAGCGUAUAUUAAAGUUGUUGCAGUUAAAAAGCUCGUAGUUGAAUUUCGGGACUAAUUUACUGGUCGUGCUAUUGUACGUACUGGUUUUAUUGAUUCUUCCCUUCUGACGAACUAUGAUGUCAUUAAUUUGGUGUCUUAGGGAAUCAGGACUGUUACUUUGAAAAAUUAGAGUGUUUAAAGCAGGCUCACGCUUGAAUACAUUAGCAUGGAAUAACGGAAUAGGACGUUUGAUUCUAUUUUGUUGGUUUCUAGGAUCGACGUAAUGAUUAAUAGGGAUAGUUGGGGGCAUUAGUAUUCAAUUGUCAGAGGUGGAAUUCUUGGAUUUAUUGAAGACUAACUACUGCGAAAGCAUUUGCCAAGGAUGUUUUCAUUAAUCAAGAACGAAAGUUAGGGGAUCGAAGACGAUCAGAUACCGUCGUAGUCUUAACCAUAAACUAUGCCGACUAGGGAUCGGAUGAUGUUAAUUUCUUAAUGACUCAUUCGGCGCC
This 515-nucleotide small RNA is filed under the name uncultured Glomus. RNAcentral describes it as "SSU rRNA". It matches the Rfam family "Eukaryotic small subunit ribosomal RNA", at positions 569 to 1087 of the family's 1831-position model. Lineage: Eukaryota; Fungi; Glomeromycota; Glomeromycetes; Glomerales; Glomeraceae. The record is from RNAcentral.